CAGUAGCCGCGGUAAUACGGAGGGGGCUAGCGUUGUUCGGAAUUACUGGGCGUAAAGCGCACGUAGGCGGCUUGGUAAGUUAGAGGUGAAAGCCUGGAGCUCAACUCCAGAAUUGCCUUUAAGACUGCCGAGCUAGCAGGUGAGAGAGGCGAGUGGAAUUCCGAGUGUAGAGGUGAAAUUCGUAGAUAUUCGGAAGAACACCAGUGGCGAAGGCGGCUUACUGGCUCAUACUGGACGCUGAGGUGCGAAAGCGUGGGGAGCAAACAGGAUUAGAUACCCCAGUAGUCCCUGUCUCUUAUAC
This 301-nucleotide ribosomal RNA is filed under the name uncultured bacterium. Its description in RNAcentral is "partial 16S ribosomal RNA". It matches the Rfam family "Bacterial small subunit ribosomal RNA", at positions 509 to 807 of the family's 1533-position model. The record is from RNAcentral.